Molecule: long non-coding RNA, 776 nt
Filed under: Anser brachyrhynchus (Pink-footed goose)
Lineage: Eukaryota; Metazoa; Chordata; Aves; Anseriformes; Anatidae
Description: lncRNA (ENSABRG00000013770.1)
Source: RNAcentral
GUGUGCCCUACACCUCGGGCUGACGGUGGGCAUUGCUCUCCUGCUCCUGCUUCCCCUGGUGGCACAGCUUCGCUCCCCAUCACAGGAUUUUACCAAGAAUGAAGUUGCACAAUACACAGGGCAGUCGACUACACAUGGAAUAACUGUCAAGAAUGAACAGAAAUUCGUAUCGUGACAAGGAUCUAUUGCCUGAAAACAGGGGAUAUUCAUAUGCAAGUUACUUGGAAGUACUGGAUGCCUCACAUGAUAAUGUUUUGAGUCUUCAAGAUACUAACCACCUGAACUUUUUAGCAAUUUCAAACAAGAAACUGGUGAGCUGGAUUCAGUUGUCCCUAUGCUUCUAUAGGGACAGCUGUUGUAUGGAUAAGGCAUUUUUUCUGUAUGAAAAGCAGAUUUUACACACUGGGCUGAAGGAGUACAUUUAAAACUGCAGAACAGAGUUCUGCAAUCAAUUCCCUGCAGUUCAUGAAAACCACCAGAUGAAAGAUGAGGAACAGGUAUUUUUUGGAAGUUUUCAGCAACCAAAUCUCUUGGUCAGAGAUAAAUUUUGCUUCUUCUACAUAAAAAGUUAAACCCACAGGGUCUGUAUUUUUUUUUUUUUCCUUUUUAAACUACACUGAUUUCACCUUCAAAAGAGGAAGAGGGUGUUUCCAUUUUUAGUCUGAAAUUCUUUGAAGUAUUCCUGUUCCAUAGAACAGGGAUCUGGAUAGAAUUUGACAAAAAAUUAAUUCCUUAUUUUAGGUUUGGUUUCAGCAAUAAAGAAGUUAAUGAGAUCA